This 579-nucleotide ribosomal RNA is filed under the name Triticum aestivum (bread wheat). Its description in RNAcentral is "partial small subunit ribosomal RNA". Lineage: Eukaryota; Viridiplantae; Streptophyta; Magnoliopsida; Poales; Poaceae. The record is from RNAcentral.
AUGUACAAUAAUGUUGUGACAAGUGUUCGAACAAGUGAUGUCGACACCGAUGACUUCCCGAUUAAGAUAGGACUGCACCAGGGGUUAGCUUUGAGCCCUUAUCUUUUUGCAUUGGUGAUGGAUGAGGUCACAAGGGGUAUACAAGGAGAUAUCCCAUGGUGUAUGCUCUUUGCGGAUGAUGUGGUGCUAGUUGACGAUAGUCGGACGGGGGUAAAUAGGAACUUAGAGUUAUGGAGACAAACCUUGGAAUCGAAAGGGUUUAGGCUUAGUAGAACUAAAACCGAGUACAUGAUGUGCGGUUUCAGUACUACUAGCUGUGAGGAGGAGGAGGUUAGCCUUGAUGGCCAGGUGGUACCUCGGAAGGACACCUUUCGGUAUUUGGGGUCAAUGUUGCAGGAGGACGGGGGUAUUGAUGAAGAUGUGAACCAUCGAAUCAAAGCCGGAUGGAUGAAGUGGCGCCAAGCUUCUGGCAUUCUCUGUGACAAGAGAGUGCCACAAAAGCUAAAAGGCAAGUUCUACAGGACGGCGGUUCGACCCGCAAUGUUGUAUGGCGCGGAGUGUUGGCCGACUAAAAGGUGA